This is a non-coding RNA of Dunaliella salina, 73 nucleotides long. Lineage: Eukaryota; Viridiplantae; Chlorophyta; Chlorophyceae; Chlamydomonadales; Dunaliellaceae. The record is from the annotation of a GenBank genome assembly.
GCCCGUGUAGCGCAGUGGACAGCGCAUCUGCUUCCUAAGCAGAGGGUCCAGGGUUCGAGUCCCUGCUCGGGUG